RNAcentral lists this ribosomal RNA (341 nucleotides) under uncultured bacterium. RNAcentral describes it as "bacterial SSU rRNA". It matches the Rfam family "Bacterial small subunit ribosomal RNA", at positions 1 to 334 of the family's 1533-position model. The record is from RNAcentral.
CUAUGCGCCUUGCCAGCCCGCUCAGUCAGAGUUUGAUCCUGGCUCAGGACGAACGCUGGCGGCGUGCUUAACACAUGCAAGUCAGGGGGCCAGCAAUGGUCACCGGCGAACGGGUGCGUAACACGUGAGCGACCUGCCCUGGAAUGGGGGGAUAGCCGGCCCAACGGCCGGGUAAUACCGCAUACGACCGCUGCCCCGCAUGAGGCGGCGGUGAAACCAUUUGGGUUCCGGGAGGGGCUCGCGGCCUAUCAGCUAGUUGGCGAGGUAACGGCUCACCAAGCGAUGACGGGUAGCUGGUCUGAGAGGAUGGCCAGCCACAUUGGGACUGAGAGACGGCCCAG